This 72-nucleotide transfer RNA is filed under the name Camelus bactrianus (Bactrian camel). It matches the Rfam family "tRNA". Rfam says of the family: Transfer RNA (tRNA) molecules are approximately 80 nucleotides in length. Their secondary structure includes four short double-helical elements and three loops (D, anti-codon, and T loops). Lineage: Eukaryota; Metazoa; Chordata; Mammalia; Artiodactyla; Camelidae. RNAcentral also lists the same sequence under 2 other names. The record is from Rfam by way of RNAcentral.
AGGUGUAUAGCUCAGUGGUAGAGCACAUGCCUAGCAUGCACGAGGUCCUGGGUUCAAUUCCCAGUACCUCCA